RNAcentral lists this non-coding RNA (30 nucleotides) under Mus musculus (house mouse). The record is from RNAcentral. Lineage: Eukaryota; Metazoa; Chordata; Mammalia; Rodentia; Muridae.
UGUGAGAAGAGGCAGAAGAAAUCAGGCCCU